Astyanax mexicanus (Mexican tetra) is the source of this 1152-nucleotide long non-coding RNA. RefSeq lists it as uncharacterized. The record is from RefSeq and is a predicted model, not a curated record. NCBI's taxonomy places the organism in Eukaryota, Metazoa, Chordata, Actinopteri, Characiformes, Acestrorhamphidae. The transcript is spliced from 2 exons.
GUGACCCUCUAUCAAUCACUAGCAGCUGCUCUAUAAAACACAGUAAAACUGCUGGUUGUUGAUGUUGCUAAAUUCUAAGCUUCGCACGACUCCCUGUAAAUGUUCACAGUAGCUGACAUCAGGGAAGCACAUUAAUAGAUACCCAUCACUUCCUGCUGCAAAUAUGUCAGUAAAUGACACUUGUCCAAGUUACUCCGGAGAGGUUGAGCAGGGAGGGUGUGUUUCGGUGGUGGUGGCACUUCCUGUUUUGCUGAGCGGAGAGGACAUGUGGAGGAUAUGGGGAAGUGCUGCAUGCUCCCUGUGCGUGUGUGAUAUUAGAACAUCAUUUCGAAUGAUAUCGAAGGUCAUUUUGCUGAAUUGGUUGAAGGGCUUCUGACCUGGAUGACUUUUCUUAAUAAAAACAGGAAUUGAGUGUGCAUCAUUGAAUCCCUCGUACUGUAGGUGUUCACCAUGUGAGGUGUCCAGGAACAUCCAUUAAACUGAGAGAAUUUCUGCUCUUUCUUUAUUUGAGGUUCAUGAGGUGUGGGAUGUGUGGAAACUAAGAAAGAAAACAUAAAGUAGAGGCAGGUGAUGCAUGCCACAGCCUGUUAGAAAAAAAACAUAGAAGUAUAACAGUAAUACACAUUAAUAAAGUAUUAAAUUAAGUAUUAAAGGUACAUUCUGUAGGAACUGAGAGUGAGCAUGUGAAAUGGCUACAGCAGUCCAAUUUCAAAACACCACAGAGAGUAGUCUGCCCCGCACAAUCUACAUAAAGUUUUGAGCAGUAGGAGAGGCAGAGAACUUAGAGUACGAGCAAGAGAAGAAAUACAGCAAUUCUAAACUCUUCUAUCACGCGUAUUUAGCGUUAUAUUGACUGUAUUUUACACAAUGGAGCUACGUGGUCAGCUGUGCCCCGCGCAAGGGUGUCAGGUCUUUUGUCUGUCAGCUUCUCAUGUCUGUGUUAUUCUCAGGUCUGUGUUUCAUUCCCAGUGUUUCCUGUUCCCUGUGUGUGUGCACCUCUAUUUAAGGUCCGUGUUCCAUUUCCCCGGUGUCGAUCCUUGUACGUUUAUCGUCUGUCAGUGCUCCAUGUUUGCCCCAGUUUCCUCAGUCCAGUUUUCAGUAAAUCCAUGUGUAUUUUGUAUUUGUUAUCGUUAAUAAAUCCCUUUUUGUUUG